RNAcentral lists this ribosomal RNA (253 nucleotides) under uncultured bacterium. RNAcentral describes it as "partial 16S ribosomal RNA". It matches the Rfam family "Bacterial small subunit ribosomal RNA", at positions 524 to 776 of the family's 1533-position model. The record is from RNAcentral.
UACGAAGGGGGCUAGCGUUGCUCGGAAUCACUGGGCGUAAAGGGUGCGUAGGCGGGUUUUUAAGUCAGGGGUGAAAUCCUGGAGCUCAACUCCAGAACUGCCUUUGAUACUGAAGAUCUUGAGUACGGGAGAGGUGAGUGGAACUGCGAGUGUAGAGGUGAAAUUCGUAGAUAUUCGCAAGAACACCAGUGGCGAAGGCGGCUCACUGGCCCGGUACUGACGCUGAGGUGCGAAAGCGUGGGGAGCAAACAGG